This 253-nucleotide ribosomal RNA is filed under the name uncultured bacterium. Its description in RNAcentral is "partial 16S ribosomal RNA". It matches the Rfam family "Bacterial small subunit ribosomal RNA", at positions 524 to 776 of the family's 1533-position model. The record is from RNAcentral.
UACAGAGGGUGCAAGCGUUGUUCGGAAUUAUUGGGCGUAAAGGGCGCGUAGGCGGUGCCACAAGUCACCUGUGAAAUCUCCGGGCUUAACUCGGAGCCUGCAGGCGAAACUGUGGUGCUGGAGUGUGGGAGAGGUGCGUGGAAUUCCCGGUGUAGCGGUGAAAUGCGCAGAUAUCAGGAAGAACACCCGUGGCGAAGGCGGUUCUCUGGGACGGUACUGACGCUGAGACGCGAAAGCGUGGGGAGCGAACAGG